UACCAGCACCCCGAGUGGUCGGGACGAUUAUUGGGCCUAAAGCAUCCGUAGCCGGUUUUACAAGUCCUCCGUUAAAUCCAGCUGCUUAACAGAUGGGCUGCGGAGGAUACUAUAAGACUAGGAGGCAGGAGAGGCAAGCGGUACUCAGUGGGUAGGGGUAAAAUCCGUUGAUCCAUUGAAGACCACCAGUGGCGAAGGCGGCUUGCCAGAAUGCGCUCGACGGUGAGGGAUGAAAGCUGGGGGAGCAAACC
This 251-nucleotide ribosomal RNA is filed under the name uncultured Nitrososphaera sp. RNAcentral describes it as "partial 16S ribosomal RNA". It matches the Rfam family "Archaeal small subunit ribosomal RNA", at positions 474 to 725 of the family's 1478-position model. The record is from RNAcentral. Lineage: Archaea; Thermoproteati; Nitrososphaerota; Nitrososphaeria; Nitrososphaerales; Nitrososphaeraceae.